GGGGUUAUAGUUUAGUUGGGCAAAAUACUGGCCUGUCACGCCGGAGCCGAGAGUUCGAUUCUCUCUAACCUCG
This 73-nucleotide transfer RNA is filed under the name Salmonella phage NINP13076. It matches the Rfam family "tRNA". Rfam says of the family: Transfer RNA (tRNA) molecules are approximately 80 nucleotides in length. Their secondary structure includes four short double-helical elements and three loops (D, anti-codon, and T loops). Further hydrogen bonds mediate the characteristic L-shaped molecular structure. tRNAs have two regions of fundamental functional importance: the anti-codon, which is responsible for specific mRNA codon recognition, and the 3' end, to which the tRNAs corresponding amino acid is attached (by aminoacyl-tRNA synthetases). tRNAs cope with the degeneracy of the genetic code in two manners: having more than one tRNA (with a specific anti-codon) for a particular amino acid; and 'wobble' base-pairing, i.e. permitting non-standard base-pairing at the 3rd anti-codon position. The record is from Rfam by way of RNAcentral. Lineage: Duplodnaviria; Heunggongvirae; Uroviricota; Caudoviricetes.